Molecule: non-coding RNA, 6591 nt
Organism: Sus scrofa (pig)
Lineage: Eukaryota; Metazoa; Chordata; Mammalia; Artiodactyla; Suidae
Source: RefSeq, a predicted model, not a curated record
GUGAGGGGAUUUAUCAUUGUGGUUUUGAUUUGCACUUUCCCAAUGAUUAAUAAUGUUGAGUAUCUUUUCAUGUGCUUGUUAGCCAUCUGUAUAUCUUCUUGGGAAAAUGUCUGUUCAGGCCUUCUAUCCCUUUUAUAAAUGGGUUUCUUGUUUUUUUUUUUGAUGUUGAGUUUAUGAGUUUUUUAAAAAUACGUUUUGGAUAUUAACCCCUUAUCGAAUAUAUUGUUUGCAAAUAUCUUCACCCAUUUGGCAAGUUGGUAGCUGUUUCAUUUUGUUACUAGUUUCCUUCAUUGUGCAAAACCUUUUUGGUCUGAUGUAGUCCCAUUUGGUUUUUUUUUUUAUUUUUAUUUUUUUGUUUGGCUUUUAUUUCCCUUGCCUGAGAAGAUAUAGCCAAAAAAAUAUUAACUGAUGUUUAAGAGUUUACUCCCUGUGCUUUCCUGUAGAAGUUUUAUGAUUCCAGGUCUUACAUUUCAGUCUUUAAUCCAUUUGGAGUUCAUUUUUGUAUAUGAUGUGAGAAAGUAGUCCAGUUUAAUUCUUUUGCAUGUAAUUUCCCCAAAACCAUUUGUUGAAGAUUGUCUUUCCCUCAUUAUAUACUCUUGCAUCCUGUACUGCAGUUUAACUGUCAUGUAAGUGUACUGUACUCUAUUGUGUUCUACUGAUUGUGUGUGUCUAUUUUUGUACCAGCACCAUACUGUUUUGAUUGUUAUGGUUUUGUAGUGUACUUAAAACCUGGUAGCAUGGUAUUUCCAUUUGUUGUUCUUUUUCAAGAUUUUGAUAUUUCAUGCCUUUUGUAGUUCCAUACAAAUUUUAGAAUUAUUUGUUCUAUUUCUGAAAAAUGACAUUGGUAUUCUGAUAGGGUUGCACUGAAUCCAUAGAUUGCCUUGGGUAGUAUGGUAACUUUAACAAUAUUAAUUCUAAUCCAUGGGCAUGGUACAAAUUUCCAUUUGUUCAUGUUAUCUUCAGUUUCUUUCAUCAAUGUCUUAUAGGUUUCAGGGUACAAGUCUUUUAACUCCUAUAUUCAUUCCUAGAUAUUUUAUCCUUUUGAUUCAAUUAUAAAUGGGUUUGGUUUCUUGAUUUAUCUUCCUCAUAGUUUGUUGUUAGUGUAUAUAAAUGCAACUGUUUUAUGUGUAUUUUUUAACCUCAUAGAAUUAAAUUAUUUCUUAAGUCUUAAAGGAGAUAGAAAUUUGAAAACAAUCACAUGUUUGUAAAUGGAAAAUUAUAAAAGUAUAUGGGAAGGGAACAAAGAAGUGGGGUAAAGCUCUAUUAAAGGAAUAAAUUAUAAGCACAUCCCUCUCAGGUCCCCAGAACUGUUUGCUCUAGCGAUGCCUCCUAUACAGGCUAUGCGCUUCCUUCUAUUGUGAUAGGUGCACUGGUAGACAGAACUGGCCCCUAGCCUAGUUGGUUGCCAGGCUCUGCAUUAUGUUGUGGCUAUUGGGCCACUGGUGGGUGAGUCUGGGUCCUGUGUGGCUGGCUACUCAGUCCAUGAGGUCGAGGACUGAUGCUGGCCUACUCGUGAAUAGAUAAGCUUUGGAAUUUUAUAGGCCAGAGGGAGGGCUGCAAAAUGGCCAUAGUUUGAACCUGUGUCCUUGUGCUAGAAAGGCUCCUCAAAUGGCUGCCAUAAUUGUCUAUGUUCCAGGGAAAGUCCCACUUGCAUCCUGCCUGUCUGGGAGGCUCUCCAAGAUCACAGUGGACUGAUCCAGGUUUCUUUCAAAUUACUGCCUCUGUUCUGCAGCCUAAAGUAUGUGAAAUUUUGUGCACACCUUUUAAGAGUGGAUUCUCUAUUUCUUACAGCCCUCUGGCUCUCUUGUAUGCAAGCCUGACUGGCUCUAGGGAGCUUCUUCUCUUAUUGAAAGCCUCCCAGGCUGGGGAGCUUUAUGUGGGACUCAGAUUCCUUGCUCCUUGGGGAAAACCUUUGCAAUUAUGAUUAUCCUGCUAAAUCCUACCAGGGGUAUGAGUCUUGACUAUACCACAUCUCUGCCUCUCCUACCUAUCUCAUUGUAAUAUCUUCUUUAUGUCUUUAGCUGUGGCAAAUAUUUUCUGCUGCUAGUCUUCAGAUCAUUCUCAUAAAUAAAUAUGCUCUUUAAAUAGUUGUGGUAUUAGGGUGCCUAUUGGAGGAAGUGAGCUCAGCGUCUUCUUGCUCUACCAUCUUGAUCACACCAUCCUAUGUAACAAUCUCAUAUCAUUGUUCUCUUCUCAAACCCCCAUGGACUGCUAUCUCUUCCCUCUUCCUUUUCUUCAUGACUUUGAUUCUAGGUUCAUUGAGAAAGUAGAACUUUUACAUACUUUCACCACAGCAUCUACCAAAAAACCACACUUUUCUUCCUUUAAUAUAGUUGUGCAUUCAUGAUUUUAUCAGAUGCUAGCCCUUCCCCUGGUGCACUGGAUCCAUCCUCUCUUACCUACUUGAUGGCUUGCCUCUAGCAAUUAAACUCACUCCUGAAUCCCUAAUAUAUCUGGACCCACCACUCACUCUCUCUCCUGGAUCUUUCCUAUCAGGAAAUAAGCAAGGUGUUAGAUGUUUCGUUUUCAAAAAUAAUCCUCCUUUAUCCCACACCCUCCUCCAGCUACCUCCUGUUUCUUUGCUUCCUGUAUAGCAAAAGUAUAUACUUGCUCCUAACUUUGUCUUCUUUGGAAAAGCAAUUUGAAAAUGAAACCAAGUAUUCAGUUUUAGUGGAUAUUGGGUGAAGUCAGGAAAUUACAUUAUAUGUUUUUAAGACUCCCUUGGUGAGUGUGUUCAGCAUUGCGAACUAUUAAUUUAAGCUUUUGUGUUAGGAACUAUUACUAACUAAAGAUGACCGUAAAUGAAAAUGAAACUCUCUGAUUUUACUGUCAAUACAACAAAGCAUUUUAUUUAUAAGACAUUUUUUAAUUUACCCGAAACAUGGUCAUGAUGGGAAAGGUAGUAUACCUAUUAUUUCCCUGUUUAUUUGACUGUCACAGAAAUCUGGAAUGAGUAAUGGGAAAUCUUACCAUUAACUUUGUCUCUAUAGGCUUAUACGUGCCUUUUCCAGCCUUGUUGAUGUGGGAAGCAGGCAGCAUAUGAGGUGGGAGGAAGAGGUUGAAAGGUUGUAGGACUACUUGCUAACCAUUUUCCAGACAUAGAUGAAUAAGAACCAUACAUAUUCUAGUAAAAUUUUCAUACUAUUUAACACCCUUUCUUUCAUGUGGUAGUUGUUCAGCACAUAUGUGUUGAAUAAAUAAAAAUAGGAAUCUGAUCAUGUCUACAGGCAUCUCCAUGCGUGCAAUUCCAGAAGCUCUUAAGAAGUUUAUGACAUCCAGCUAAAGAUGGCUAAAAAGAAGGAUAAAUCUUACACUCUAGUUCCUUAGUACAAUCAUUCAUCCAUUUAUUCACUCACCCAACAAAUAGUUAUUGAAAUAUUUUUCACAUGCCGGGCACUGGGAUUGGUGCAGUGGGUGCAGAUUUGGUGUCCAGUUAGAAGUUUUAUUCUAGUAUGAUUAUAAUCCAGGCAGAGUCUGAUCCACUGGUCUCUGGAUAUGUUGUUUUAUGAAAAUCAUUUCCUUGGUUGGUGCCUCAGUGUCUCCACAAGAAAAGAGUAUAUAUGUCCAUGGAUUGCAAUGAGGAUUACAUAAGGAAUCAUAAAAUACUGUUCAUACACCAUGAAGGAUAGCAUAAGCCUUACUUAUUACUGUAACCAUUCACCCACUGCAUUAAAAAAAAAGUAACUUAGAGAGAGCAAAUUGAAAGGCUAAGUUAAAUUGUUUUGCUGUCAAAUGAGGCUUGAAAAGUGCGAGUUGUCACUCUUUCCCUGUCAGAGGGGACGUUUUAGAUUUUCUCCAUGAAAGUUGAUUGUUGUGAAUAAAAGGCUUACUUCCUACUUGAACUAUCAAGUGCAAGGGCCAUUACCUGUUAUCAAUCAAGUGGGUCUUGCUAGGCUCAAAGUGCUAUGGGGCAGAGUGCCAUUGGGGUUCUUAAAACCUUAGCCGCUUUGCUGGAUGUAGAUAGCUCCCAAACAAAAUAAGCUGGUAAUCUAACACUGUCUUUAAUCAGUAGGUUUCUUUGGGUUGGGACAUUUCUCUGGUGUCCAGGUCCCAGUAGCAAAUCACUUAAUUAAAGUCCCCAAGAAAAUCAGAAACGCUAUGAACUACCACCAAAGGACCAUGGUUUUUUGUUCUUUUGUUUUCCUUUAAUGAACACUCUCAUGUUGUCUUCAGAGAGGUUGAUAACUUUAGAAAUUAAGAGGACCAUAGAGGUUAUCCAGGUAUAGGACUCCUAAAGGCCAGUCUUUAGCUCAGGCUUGGUCAUGACAGCAUUUACAUCCAUCUCAUCAGCUGAAUAUAUCCAUUUUAAAGGAUUAUCCCUUAUUCUUUCAUGAAAUGAGAGGUUGAAACUGAUAAUAGUGGGGUAAUUUUCACACACACACCCCACCUCCCCCACACAUAUAGUCUUUGAAAUCACAGAUUCUGGGAAUCAGCUUUAUGAAGGGGGGAAAUAAAACUCUGUUGAAACUCAAGUGAUAGGAUUUCGCUAAAAUGACGUAGUUCUAGUUUAAAGCACAGGUGUCAACCUCAGAUCUACUGACGAAUAGUUUAGUUCUGACUUGCAUGUAAUGAGAGAAGUGGUUUUCACAUGUUAGAGACCUUGCCACUUUCAGAGAAAUUUGGCUAAUGCAGAGCCAGUGUGACUUGCUGUUGUCUUGUAUUUUGGCUGAAGGACCGUUUCUGUAUACCAUCAGUGCCCCUGCCUUUGCCACUCAUUCACCCUUUAAAAAAAGCCCUCAACAUUACCAAGAAGGGCUUUACAGCAUAUAGGGAGGAAAUUGUGAUGUGUUAGGUCUUGGGCUCAAUUCUGCUUUGUUAUUGGCAAUGUCACGUAAUAUCUUGAACUAAUCUCGUUAUCUGUAAAGCCCUUCUCUACCUGCUAAGUUUCAUCCAAGGUUAAAAAGAAAAUACACAGAUGAAAAUGCUUGGUGAAUUGUAUUAUGUUUAAUAGGUUGAAAAAAUGUUAUUUAUGGUAAAAACUAAAAGUUGCUGCCUUUCAUUUGACAAUAGGCCUACCCCUUAUGGGUGGUAGAAAGACUCACGUUGUGUGUGGAUCGAUGUUGGCAGGAGAAAGAGGAGACUGUACUUGUAGGAACCUCAGAGCAAGCGCCUCCUUAAGUUUUAUAUUUUAGGCAUCUUCUUGCCUCACCCUGUUCCCGGCCCUGAGUUUUCUUGGUUGAUAUGGUUCUCUCUCAUCAACAGAGGGCAAGUCCCAGAGAGGACUUCAGCUCAGAGCAUCAACUGCCAACAUUUCUAGAAGAUGAGGGAAUGUGUGCCGUAGUCCUGGAAGGGGGGUCUGAGCCACACACAACAGCACUAAACCACCAUGGAGAGGUUUUGGCAAUCUUUUCUGAAGUUAAGAUACACCUACUCCAUGACCUGUAUGUCCUGUCUGCAUGAUGAAAAGUGUCGUAGAGAGUUCUUGAGUCUGAAGGCCAAUGAUAUCAGAUGGAAAGUGGGAUCUACAACAUGAAAGAACGGCGUUGGAAAUGAUAAAUAUAUGGGGGAAGGCAGUGAUUGUGUCAAACAGCCGUAUGGAGAGGUCUGCAUAGGGAAGAACUGAAGUCUACCAAAACCCACAGGAAUAAUCUUGGAUGUGGACACUCUAUCCCCAGGUGAAAGAUUUCUGUCCUCAAAAUAGAUUACACAAUGUUCCAUCAGAUACUGUAACAUCCCCUGAGGAUUUUCAUGCCUUUAUAAUCUCAUCUGAAGACUAAAAGAACCCUAGCCACUACCAAGUUCUUUAUGAAAAGUCGUGGGUAGAAAUGAAGGAUGGAUUUAAAAAAAUAAUUAAAUAAAACACGAAGAUGUAAGCUCAGCUUCUACAUAAUGGAUCAUGAGGUGAGUCCUUCUCAGCUGUGGACCAGACAUCAAGCAUCACUGGAGGGCAAUUCUCACUUUUCUUUGACAACGAUCACGUUUCCUUUUCCAGAUGACAUCUGCCUAGUAUGUAAUUGGUGACCACAUCCAAGUAAACAUGUGGAAAAUGAGAGCAAGUGGGUGUGUGAGCUCGAAGGGAAUGGCUUAUUUGGGGGAUGAUGGAAGGGCGCAAAUCUGGAAGGAGUUCAGUUCUAUGAGUACCAAGGAAAGGCCGUGUGAGGACAUAGUGAAGAGGUAGCUGUCCACAAACCAAGAGGGUGCUCACCAGGAACUUAAUUUGCCAGCACCUUGAUUCUGGAUUCCCCAGUCUCCAGAAAUAGAAGAAACAUGAUGUACCAGCAAAACUUUAGUCUGCAAAGGAUCAUGAGCCAAUAAGCUGCAAUUGUUGCUUUGAAAAGGCAGAAGCAAAAGAAGAGUUGAUGGAGAUACCAGGCAUGAAAGGGUCGUGAGAUAAAGGACACUUCUGGCUCAGAUAUUCUUGGGGUCCACGGUGGUACCAAGAUUGCUCUGGUUUACCUGCUUUCAGAGCCAGCCACCCCUUUCUUGGUCUCUGGAUAUUUCUCAAGUGUUUCCUUGUCCUCUCUUGCUGCCAUGACAACCCAGGCCCUGACUUGAGAAGACCUUUCUCCAUGUGAAUAAACAUGUUGAUGGAGCAUCAACCCAAAUGUCCACUGAUAGAUGAUUGGAUCAGGAACAUGUGGUAUAUAUACA